Molecule: long non-coding RNA, 913 nt
Organism: Melospiza melodia melodia
Lineage: Eukaryota; Metazoa; Chordata; Aves; Passeriformes; Passerellidae
Exons: 3
Source: RefSeq, a predicted model, not a curated record
ACUCAAAGGAAGCGAUGUUGGGCGGUUUGUUACAAGGGAAAUCUGCUCCUAGCCAGUUCUUUUGGACUAUUAAAUUCAAUCUGGAGAAUCACUGUAAGCAAUGUUGCACAGACAACAUGAACUUGUACCUCCAUCAGUUUUCCCUGCAGCCUUUUAACACUCCCUCAGGAUAAGCUGCAGAGGGUUGUGUGCCACAGGGCUCUGAGUCACUGCUCAGUAACAGAUACAGGUGCAGGAAGGACCAUGGAGGCAUUUGGGGCUGCAGGGCUGUGACAGGAGCAAAAGUUCAGGGAUCAGCUCUGUCAUGUGCUGGAGGGUGGAGGAGUUUCUAGGAGAUGGGCACGGUGCCACAGGCUUACAGCGGGUUGGGAUGUGGCGACCAGGACUUUGUAACUCUGUCAGAGGAAAGGCAAACACCUGGCAGGGGGUGGCUGACACUGACUGCAAGGGAAUGCACUUACAGAGCUGUGCUGUGCACGAGAUGAGACACAAGAGCAGCUCUUAAUGUCUGCAUUUUUUAUUUUUCCAUAGGUGAACGAACACCCUGGGCUUAUCCAGACUAAGCCAUCUUUCAAAGACUCAGCACCUUCACUGCAUUUUCUGUGGCACUCGAGCGGUAUCAACUGAUAUAGACAAAGGUGACAGCACAUGACAUCAAGCCCUUGGUGUCCCCAGGUACCUACAUUGUCCUGCUGAUGUUGAAAGGAUCUCCAGUUCAAUCUGCUUUUUUUCAUCAUUCCAACUGAUUAUUUUUGCCUCCUUCACAAAGCAACAAGAAAAGAAUCAGGUUCUUUGUACAGUUCAAGCUGCCAGAGGAAGGUGACCCCUGCCUGUGUCAGCACUCACCUGGACAAGGACAGAAGUGUUUGUCGCAGCUUCAUUUAACUGCCUCUGUUUGUGGCCUUCACUGCUG